RNAcentral lists this transfer RNA (74 nucleotides) under Pteropus alecto (black flying fox). It matches the Rfam family "tRNA". From Rfam's summary of the family: Transfer RNA (tRNA) molecules are approximately 80 nucleotides in length. Their secondary structure includes four short double-helical elements and three loops (D, anti-codon, and T loops). Lineage: Eukaryota; Metazoa; Chordata; Mammalia; Chiroptera; Pteropodidae. RNAcentral also lists the same sequence under 1 other name. The record is from Rfam by way of RNAcentral.
GGCUCCAUAGUGUAGUGGUUAGCACGUCUGCUUUACACGCAGAAGGUCCUAUGUUCGUGCCCCAAAUGGAGCCA